RNAcentral lists this ribosomal RNA (471 nucleotides) under uncultured Arcobacter sp. RNAcentral's name for it is "bacterial SSU rRNA". It matches the Rfam family "Bacterial small subunit ribosomal RNA", at positions 916 to 1381 of the family's 1533-position model. Lineage: Bacteria; Pseudomonadati; Campylobacterota; Epsilonproteobacteria; Campylobacterales; Arcobacteraceae. The record is from RNAcentral.
GACGGGACCCGCACAAGCGGUGAGCAUGUGGUUUAAUUCGACGAUACGCGAAGAGCCUUACCUGGCCUUGACAUACUAAAAAGCUUUAAGAGAUUAGAGUGUGCUAGCUUGCUAGAAUUUAGAUACAGGUGCUGCACGGCUGUCGUCAGCUCGUGUCGUGAGAUGUUGGGUUAAGUCCCGCAACGAGCGCAACCCUCGUGUUUAGUUGCUAACAGUUCGGCUGAGAACUCUAAACAGACUGCCUACGCAAGUAGGAGAAAGGUGAGGACGACGUCAAGUCAUCAUGGCCCUUACGGCCAGGGCUACACACGUGCUACAAUGGGGUAUACAAAGAGCAGCGAUACGGUGACGUGGAGCAAAUCUAGAAAAUGCCUCUCAGUUCGGAUUGUAGUCUGCAACUCGACUACAUGAAGUUGGAAUCGCUAGUAAUCGUAGAUCAGCAAUGCUACGGUGAAUACGUUCCCGGGUCUU